AUGGAGGGUCCCUCCUCUCUCUUCCCCUCCCUCCACUCUGCUGGUUGGUUGGACGGAAGACCACCGCUCGUCCGGCUUUGCUUCUUCCACCGCUGCUCCCCUCCCAUCAUAGUGCCAGAGACGCUGUGCCAAGGACGGAAGAGGAUCAAGUUGAAGAACCAAGUACUCCAAUCAGCAGAUCACUCCAAGCUGGAGUACCAAGCAGCUGUUACUCCAAUCACUCAAAUACGAAGAAUACAGGUCUCCAGCCAGGCGAAAGGGAUACUACUGGCGGCAAGCGAUGAACACCAUGGAGCAGCGGCGGACUUCACUACCUCAGGGGAUCAACAACCAGCUAUACCACGAUCGGAGCCAAAAUCAAGCAGCGGAGCAGCAGAGGAUUGGAGCUGUGGAUCAAUUUGA
Molecule: ribosomal RNA, 402 nt
Filed under: Triticum aestivum (bread wheat)
Lineage: Eukaryota; Viridiplantae; Streptophyta; Magnoliopsida; Poales; Poaceae
Description: partial small subunit ribosomal RNA
Source: RNAcentral